AUAAGAACAUUUCUGUUUCUGGGUACACCUCCUAGCUGACCAAAAAUUAUGAACAAUAGGAAAUUUAAGAGCCAGUAUGCAAAUUAAUUAAUUUUUAUUAAGUAUCUAUUGGAUUCUUAGCAAGAAGAGGAGCUAUGAAUGGAAAAUUACACAGUAAAAAAACAUUUUUAUCUAAUAUUUAUUUCAUAUACACAAGAAAUGUUAAGAAAACCUAGAGUAAGAACCUGCCCUUGUGUGCCGACUAAUGAUUGUUCUGCUUUGAAAAUCUGCUUUGUGACUGGCCAUGUGAACUUGAGUGAGCCACUUCUCCUCUCUGCACUUCAGCCCUUCAUCUUUAAAUUGAAGGAUUGGAUCACAGGAAUUCAUUGUUCCUCAAAUAUCCUUGGGGACAUUUGACUACAUAAGUAUCUUCUUUUGUUACUUUACAUAAAUUCUUGAGCCUUAGAAAAAUAUCAAGGAAAAAGUGAGAAUGACCUACUGUUAAUCACAGAUUAUCAGAGUCUAAAGAAAUAUUCUCUACUCCAACAUUUUACUUCAAAAAUGUGGAAACGGAAAUGCAGAAAUACGAAUUAAGUGGCCUAAGAGCACAGUCCGUGGUAGAGCCAAGUCCUGCAAUCUAGUUCUCUUGCUUCUGUUUCUAAUUAAGGAAUUUCAUAAUCCUCCCAAAUGUAUAGCUUUAUUUUCAUCUGAAAGUCCUGUUAGUAUUUACUGAGGUUCAUUUGUUUGUUUCCCACAGCUUUUUGAUAUUUAACUAGUCAUUAAAAACUCAGAUAGCAUGAGAAAUAGCAAGGGCAGAUCUCAAUAAUUUUCUUUUAGGGAACAGAAGUAAUAUUUAAAUCAUAACUUUCCAUCACCUCUUCCUCCUACCUAGCACAACUUAGACAUCUCUUAGACAAAAAAAUACAUAUAGUUGAAAAGAAAACUAUUAUAAAAACUUAGAUGUUAAUAACAUGUUAAUAAUAUUGGGGAAGAGAGAGCUAUAAAUAAAGAUAUCAAAACUUUUGUAUUCAUACCUACAUAAAGAAACAUGAUUUACUAAGAGUAGUUAUUUCUCACAAAAUUACAGUUACAUUUUGGGAAGCAAUGGUCAAAUAAGUUGCAAACAUUAGCUUGUAGUGUUCUGAAGCCAUCUAGAACAAGAACUACAAAUAGGACUUAUAGUUGUUUCAUAUCAAUAAUGCUAUAAUACUUGUUGAUGUAUGUGAAUAUCCUGGAAAUUUGCCUGACCUUCUAAAACAUGUCCUUUCCAUGAACUUCUGUUUAGCAAUAUCUCAACAAGGAAAGGAAGGCAGUUGAUGUGAUUUUAAUAUCAUAAGGGAGAGCUGGCACACAGAGAUACUUUUUAAAAAAUGGUUUUACUAUAUUUCAUUCUAUGGACUAUAAUCCAAUUAAUUACUUGAUUUCCUUUUAUGGCAUACUCAUGCUGUUUCCAAGUUCUCUUUUUUAGCAAUGCUAUAAUGAUGUACACUUCUCCCAGAAACAUGGGAUAACACCUAUUUCCCCCAAAAUCAGACGACAUGCUUUUUAACAUUAUAAAUUUUUUCCUAUCUCAGGAAAAAUUGCUAAAUUUUAGGGAAAAUUUUUUAUAUAACAACCUUUCCUUCUUUGAAGGAAAUGCUUUAUGUUCCUUUUAGUUCAGAAAACCACUCAGUAAGGACAAGCCUCUAUUUAUGUUCUUUAGAAACACUUCCAUGUGGCAGCUGAAAACAGAAGUAAUAAAGAACUAUAGAAAACAGUGCUUGUGGCAUUAAAAUGAGUGGAAAAGAGAUGGGAAAUCCACUUAAAUAGUUACAUCUGGGAAGAAAUGUCUCACCAGUUCAUCAACAGUGGUCUCAACAUGUCUUUGAUAGUGAAAUGGACUCCAACAUUCAGAGGUCACCUUAGAAAUUAGAAAAGGAAAUAGAGACAACUAAUGUUAACAUUCUUUAAAAAACAAAACAAAAAAACUCCACAAAGCUACCAAACUAAUUGGGAAAGGAUUCGCUGUCUUAAUUAGAAAUAAUUAUCUUGUUAUCAAAGUACACUGAUUAAUGUUUCAUCAGUGACUUCAUCUGCAUAUAUACACAUAUAUAGACAAAUAUGGAAUAUGUGUAUGUAUACAUAGUAUAUACACAUUAUAUAUCCAUAUAUGUGUGUGUGAUAUGUGUAUGUGUCUAUGUGUAUUAGAUUCACUCCUCAGCCCUCACAUAGAGCAAUUCCAAUCCAUGAUCUCACAUUUAGAAGGGUUGGUGGAAAGGGGGGAUCCCGAAUGUUUUAUGAAGCAGCCCACUCUAAUCCCUUAGUGCUCUACAUUAUUAGGUACACAAUGGACAUCCAUUUUAGAUACUCUAAUUGAGUUUAAACUCAAGCCAAAUACACAUUUGGAUUAAUAUCUCAAGUCAUAGUGUGGGAUGUCUUUUAUUACAUUUGGUACCUGUCAGUGUAACCUUCUAACUGUCAGCUUCUACUCCUUUUGAAAACUUUAUGUACCUGAUAUCAAACAAUUUCUACCUAGGGCACUUCAGGACUGCAGCAAAGGGCAUUUGAUGGAGUCUAUAACAGGUAAUAAAAUGGUGCUGUGGUCUGAAUAUUUGUGUUGCCCCCAAAUUAAUAUGUUGGAAUGUAAUACACAAUAUGAUAGUGUAUUAGUCCAUUUUCACAUUGCUGUGAAGAAAUACCUAAGACUGGGUAAUUUACAAAGAAAAGAAGUGCAAUUUGCACACAGUUCUACAGGCUGUACAAGAAACAUAGUGGCUUCUGCUGUAGGGGAGGCCUCAGGAAGCCUCCAGUCAUGGUGGAAGGCAAAGGGGGAGCAGGUUUUCUUACAUUUCAGGAGCAAGAGCAAAAGAAUGAAGGCGGAGGGGCUACACACUUGUAAACAACCAGAUCUCAUGAGAACUCACUUACUGUCAUGAGAACAGCUCCAAUGGGUUAAUGCUAAACCAUUCAUGAGAAAUCCAAUCCCAUGAUCUAAUCACCUCCUACCAGGCCCCACCUACAACACCAGGAACCACAGUUCAACAGGAGAUUUGGGCAGGAACACUUACACAAAUUAUAUCAGAUUGUAUUAAGAGGUGGGGCUUUUGCGGAAGUAACUAAGUCAUGAGGGCCCUCAUGAAUGGAAUUAGAGCCCUUAUAAAAGUGGUUGAGGGGAGCUGCCUUGCUCCCUUUUUGAAGCAGACACUGAAUCUGCUGGUGCCUUGUCUUGGACUUCUCAGCCUCUAGAGCUGUGGGAAAUAUGUUUCUGUUUUUACAAAUUACCCAGCCUAAGGUACUUUGCUAUAGCUGCCUGAAAGAACUAAGACAAAGGUGAUUUCAAAUUUUAUUCUGAGGAGAGUCUGCAAUGAGAUUAAGAGGAAUUUAGAGACAGGGAAAUAUGAAUAUUCAUUAAACAUCUUGAGGGAGUAUGCUCCUUUAUUUAAAUAUUUAUGACAAUCGCAAGAAGUUUUAUUGUCACUAUUUUACACAUAAGGAAAUUGAAGCACAGAGAGUUUAAGCAACAAGUUUAAAGUCCAGUGUUUUUACUCAUAUAAAUGUAAGGCAAGUUUGGUUUCCAUAAAGUCUAAACCCCAGCAGAAUUCUGGAGUUCUAGCACACAAAAUAUAGCCAAAGAGCAAGAGGUUUGAAGCAGAAAACUGACAAAGUAGCUGAAGUGACUGCAACAAGUACUAAGUGGUUGGAUUUUAUUUUUGACACAGUAUAUAAGAGUGCAUUUACUAGCCAUUUUCUGGGCUGCGAAAUUCCUUUUUAAAAAUGCAUGAGAAUGAUGCUAAGGAAUACCAAAUAAGUCCUCUCAAUCUUUUAGGGAAAUCAAAAAGUAAAACACCCAUACAUUUAUGGAGUUCAUUCAUAAAAAUUAUUUGUUAGAAUCAAGUAUUUCCUCUUUUUUAAAUAAAAGCUAAAUGUAGAGUUGCUUAAACUCUCUUCUUUAAACGUGAAAGUACACAUCAUUAAUGCAGUAUAACUUCGGAUAAGGAAAUGAGAGAAUCCAAUAUGAUCUUAAUUUUAUUUCACCGGAAACAAGAGAUUUGCAUUCCAUUUUAAUAACCUGUUUCUUUAAUACCAACAAAAGCCACUCUUGAAAGUCUUCUACUAUUAAAGAGGAGAUUAGAUUUUUUUUCAAGAUAACGAAAUAUAGCCCUAUAUUCUUUCUACCUGCAAAAUAAGUUAUAAUCCUGCUCUUUGGAAGUAGAAAACUUCUCUGUCUAUAACCUCAAAAUACUAUUAGGUAGUUCUAGUGGUUUUAAAAUACACUCACAAAUUCUUUUACACUGAAGAGGUCUUCAGAAGGUGGAACCUAAGACUGCCCCUCACCCUUAGUGUGAGCUGGAUUUAGUGAGUUGCUUCUAACAAAUAGAAUAAAAUGGAAGUGAUGAUGUUUAACUUCUGAAAUUAGAUCUUAAAAGGAAUUGUGGCCUCUUCUUGUUCUGUGUCUUAGAUACUCACUCUGGGGAAACCAGAUGACAUUCUGCGAAGACACUCAGCCUCAUGGAUAGACCAAAGUGGCAAGGGACCUAUCCCUGCAGUCAAUUCCCAUAAAAAAACUGAGGUCACCUACCUAUAGCCAUGAGAGGGAGUUAGAAACAAACCUUUCAGCCCCAGUCAAGCCUUCAGAUAACACCUUGAGCGACACUAACCACCUGAGAUUAUAACCACAUGAGAGACUCUAAGCUAGAAAUGCCCAGCUAUACCACUCCCCAACUCCUGACCCACAGGGACUGUGAAAUAAUUUUUUUUGUUUGUUUUAAGCCCCUAAAUUUUAAAGUAAUUUGUUAUGCGUCAAUAGAUUUGUAAUACAAUAGUUAAAAGUCAUAUAAUGGAUAAGAAAGUACUUGAAAUAAGAAACAUUGAUCAAUACACAAUAUCAUUAUUUUGUCAUAAUAUAAUCAUGUCAUACAUAAAGACUAUCAUUUGGUUGACACUGUCAUUUUGGACUCUUUUUGUUUGUUUGUUUUCCCCCUUUUAGAUUGUUCACACUUUUGUUUAGAACUCCCUCAAAUCUGUCUGAUAAAACCUAGUGAAAGACCUGUCUCUCCUGCUUGUUAAUAUAUCACAGCAUAACCUUAAAUUAUUUCUCCAGUGACCCAGCGUUGUGACCUCAGUUAAGCUCAUGAAAAAUUGGUCCCAUUUUGUCCAUUCUACACGCAUCUCCCAAAAAUUGUGUGCUAUGUUGGAUACAGUUUUAAUUCUGUACAUAGCCAAUGGGAUGUGUAUGGCCAAUAUUUUAUUUGUUAGUAAUCCAAUUUUCAUCUUAAGGACUAAAUGACUAACUCUAAAUGCUGGUUACACUACAUGAGAACUGAAGGAGGCUAGUUUAGUUUGUGCAAUAAGAGGUGAGUCUAGACACUGUUUAACUGUGGACACAGUUUUGUCUGAUUGCUUACAUAGAGCAGAGUUUAGCAUUAGCAAAAGUGAUUGUUUUAAAAAUAAGGUAUCAGAAAUGUAUUCGGCUUUGAGGAAGAGAAUAACCAACAGUGGUGGCUUAAACAAGUAUGGGGCUUAUGUUUCUGUAAAAUAGAAGUGCAGACAUAGGGUUUCCAACCCGGGUGCCGCUUCUCAAGGAUGUCCUCAGUGAAUCAGGCUCUAUGCAUGUGCCUGUUCCACCAUCCUUCAUGUGUGCCUUUGCCUCACGGCUGGAAGACAGCUGCUGACUUACCAGGUAUUACAUCCAGCUCCAGGCAGGAAAGAGAGCAAAAAACAAAGCUUUAUCCUCAUGAGACUCUGCCUUAUUUUUUUUAUUUUCCAGAAAAGAAAGUCCUCCUCUGGAAUUUCUGACUAUAUUUCAUUGGCCACAACUGGAUUCCAUGGCCACCCCUAACUACUGGGGAGGCUGAGAAUUCAAAUGCUGAAAAUUGCAAUCUCCAUAGUGAAAGACACGAAGAAAGAAAUUGAUUGAAAUGGGUUAAUUAAUUCAAUUAGCAACACUUUUUCUCAGCAAAGGAGCUGAGAAAGAAAAUGUUUUGGUUCAGUCCUGGGUAGGGGUGCUUGACAGUGCUUAAUAUCACCAGCACUGAAGGUAAUAAAUAUUAUCUCUCUUUUCUAUCAUGAAUAUGAAUGAUACUCUGAAGGCUGAAUGCAACCUCAGAAUUUAAGUGAGAAAUGAGGCAUGCAACACUUUUGAAAAUAUAUUAGCCCAAAGUCUGUAUUACUGCAUAUUUUAUUCCCCUUUUAAUAUGCUACAAAAGGUUUGAGCCAUCAGCUGAAUGCUGCCAGAGAAGAACAAACAAGAACAAGAAUGCAAAAAUAAAUGCUGGGAGUCAAGUUUUCCCAAGAUGUUCUUUAUAGUUGGUGUAUGAUCACAUUUCUAAGCAGACUGCUUUGCUUCAAGCUCUACCCAUCAGCACUUCUUCCACAAGCCUGGUUCUCCAGGAAGUUUAUCCCGGGCUAACUAUGCAGAAAUAUACGUGGGGCAAAGUGGGUACUGGAGAAAGCAUUCCAUGAACUCCUUCUUUUGCCCUGCUACCUGAUUCUGUGUAACUUCUUCCAUGCCUGAGAUCUUCUCUUCCAUUUUGAGAACAUGAAGGAAACAUGUUUGCUUAAGUACGUUCUGGUUGGGAAUUAAAUAUUUAAUUCUGAUCAUUUUUAGUGUCUGAAAUAUAUUUCGUAAGCAUGGUCAUAUGAUAAUUAUAACUAUAAAAUGUUUUACAUUCUACAAACUUUAUCCCAUGUUACUAAUAUUCAGGAAAUGAUCAUAGGAAAAUAUUUGCACUAGGAUACUAUUCAUUAUUUUAACUCUUUCUAUUUAUACAUAGUUUUAAGAAAUUCUACAAUGAAUUUAUAUCAUCUUCAUAAUAGGGAACAAAAAUAAACUUCACUUUUUCCAUGAGGCUGUUGUCUUCCAAGACCAUACCUAAGCCAAGUUUGGGUUUAUAAAGUCAAAAUCAUGAGAUAUCCCAUCUGUGAACAAAUACUCAUGGCUAUAAUUUGGACGUUUGUUGUUUCCAAACUUCAUGUUGAAAUUUGACCCUCAAUAUUGGAUGUGGGGUGAUAUGGUUUCAUUGUGUCCUCACAAAAAAUCUCAUCUUGAAUUGUAAUCCCCAUAAUUCCCACGUGUCAAGGGCGGGAUCAGAUGGAGGUAACUGGAUCAUGGAGGCAGUUUCCCCCAUGCUGCUGUCAUAAUAAUGAGUGACUCUCAUGAGAUCUGAUGGUUUUAUAAGCAUCUGGCAUUGCCCUUGCUUGCACUCACUUCAUCCUGCCACCCUGUGAAGAAGGUGCCUGCUUCUCCUUAGCCUUCUGCCAUGGUUGUAAGUUUCCUGAGGCCUCCCCAGCAAGGCAAAACUGUGAGUCAAUUAAACCUCUUUCCUUUAUAAAUUACUUAGCCUCGGGUAUUUCUUCAUAACAUUGUGAGAGAGGACUAAUACAUGGGGCCUAAUGGCAGGUGUUUGGGUUAUGGGGCUGAAUCCUUCUACAAUAGGUUAAUGUUCUCCCUCAGUGGUGAGUUCUCACUCUAUUAGUUCCUGCGAGAGCCAGUUGUUUCAAAGAGCUAGGGGUGCACCUCUCCCUGCCUUGCUUCCUCUUUUGCCUUGGAAUCUCUGGGUCCCCUUCACCUUCAGCCAUGAGUGGAAGCAGCCUGAGACCUUCACCAAAUGCAGAUGCCCAAUCUUGAACUUUCCAGCCAUCAUAAUUGUGACCCAAAUAAACCUUUUUCUUUAUAAACUACCCGGUCUCAAGUAUUUCUUUAUUUUGUUUUUAUUAUUGUUUCUUUAUUUUGUGUUGUAUUAUUGCAACACAAAAUGGACUAAGACACUCACCAACUCUCUUGAAUUCAAGAGUUUCAUGGUUUGUGUACUGAAUAUUGUCACAUAAAAAUACCACUUCCUAGGCUCCAGUCAUGACGAUCCAGGUGAACAGGAGUAUGGCACCAAAGUCUGCCUUUUUAAGUAAUACUCCAGUUGAGGCUGAUACAGACAGUUCUCAGAUACACUUGGAAAAACACUUAUCUGAUAGUCAUUUGUUCACUGAUGGAAGGCCAAGUUUCAUGCCAUAGUCCACUCUUAUGCACACUGACAAGCCACUUUGCUACUCACACCAGCUUCUCCAUUUGACAGUGGCUGCCUCUCUUCCCCAUCUUUCAACAGAUAGUUUGCAUCUCCUUCUCCUCAGUCACAAGGAGUUAAUAAAUUAAUAUUUUGCAUAACACUCUUUGUUAAACUAUUCUGUCAUAUAGAUAAGUGUUUCUUAGUUAAAUUCAAUUGAAUGUCUACUGUGAAUAAAAUUUAGAUAAGACCAGUGCCU
RNAcentral lists this long non-coding RNA (8214 nucleotides) under Homo sapiens (human). RNAcentral describes it as "HSALNT0402895". The record is from RNAcentral. Lineage: Eukaryota; Metazoa; Chordata; Mammalia; Primates; Hominidae.